RNAcentral lists this ribosomal RNA (497 nucleotides) under uncultured bacterium. RNAcentral describes it as "partial 16S ribosomal RNA". It matches the Rfam family "Bacterial small subunit ribosomal RNA", at positions 28 to 507 of the family's 1533-position model. The record is from RNAcentral.
GAUGAACGCUGGCGGCGUGCCUAAUACAUGCAAGUCGAGCGAACAGAUGAGGAGCUUGCUCCUUUGACGUUAGCGGCGGACGGGUGAGUAACACGUGGAUAAUCUACCUAUAAGACUGGGAUAACUUCGGGAAACCGGAGCUAAUACCGUAUAAUAUAUUGAACCGCAUGGUUCAAUAGUGAAAGACGGUUUUGCUGUCACUUAUAGAUGGAUCCGCGCCGCAUUAGCUAGUUGGUAAGGUAACGGCUUACCAAGGCGACGAUGCGUAGCCGACAGGAGGGGGUGAUCGGCCACACUGGAAGUGAGACAGGGUCCAGAGUCCUAGGGGAGGCACCAGUAGGGAAUCGUCCGCAAUGGGCGGAAACCUGACGGAGCAACGCGGCGUGAGUGAUGAAGAUCUUCGGAUCGUAAAGCUCUGUUAUUAGGGAAAAACAAAUGUGUAAGUAACUAUGCACGUCGUGACGGUACCUGAUCAGAAAGCCACGGCUAACUACGUG